GACGUUACUCGCAGAAAUAAGCACCGGCUAACUCUGUGCCAGCAGCCGCGNUAAUACAGAGGGUGCGAGCGUUAAUCGGAUUUACUGGGCGUAAAGCGUACGUAGGCGGCUUUUUAAGUCGGAUGUGAAAUCCCUGAGCUCUAACUUAGGAAUUGCAUUCGAUACUGGGAAGCUAGAGUAUGGGAGAGGAUGGUAGAAUACCAGGUGUAGCGGUGAAAUGCGUAGAGAUCUGGAGGAAUACCGAUGGCGAAGCGCAGCCAUCUGGCCUAAUACUGACGCUGAGGUACGAAAGCAUGGGGAGCAAACAGGAUUAGAUACCCUGGUAGUCCAUGCCGUAAACGAUGUCUACUAGCCGUUGGGGCCUUUGAGCUUUAGUGGCGCAUAUAACGCGAUAAGUAGA
RNAcentral lists this ribosomal RNA (400 nucleotides) under bacterium E-1-0-7G. RNAcentral's name for it is "bacterial SSU rRNA". It matches the Rfam family "Bacterial small subunit ribosomal RNA", at positions 471 to 868 of the family's 1533-position model. The record is from RNAcentral.